UACGAAGGGGGCUAGCGUUGUUCGGAAUCACUGGGCGUAAAGCGCACGUAGGCGGACUUUUAAGUCAGGGGUGAAAGCCUGAGGCUCAACCUCAGAACUGCCCUUGAUACUGGGAGUCUUGAGUAUGGUAGAGGUUGGUGGAACAGCAAGUGUAGAGGUGAAAUUCGUAGAUAUUUGCUAGAACACCAGUGGCGAAGGCGGCCAACUGGACCAUAACUGACGCUGAGGAGCGAAAGCGUGGGGAGCGAACAGG
This 253-nucleotide ribosomal RNA is filed under the name uncultured bacterium. Its description in RNAcentral is "partial 16S ribosomal RNA". It matches the Rfam family "Bacterial small subunit ribosomal RNA", at positions 524 to 776 of the family's 1533-position model. The record is from RNAcentral.